GUCGAGAAUCUUUCACAAUGGGGGCAACCCUGAUGGAGCGACGCCACGUGGAGGAUAAGGUCUUCGGAUUGUAAACUCCUGUCAUGCGUGAACAAGGUUGCUUGGUUAAUACCUGGGCAAAUUGAUGGUAACGCAAGAGGAAGAGACGGCUAACUCUGUGCCAGCAGCCGCGGUAAUACAGAGGUCUCAAGCGUUGUUCGGAAUCACUGGGCGUAAAGGGUGCGUAGGUGGCGUGGUAAGUCAGAUGUGAAAGCCCGGGGCUCAACCUCGGAACUGCAUCCGAUACUGCCAUGCUAGAGUACUGGAGAGGUGACUAGAAUUCUCGGUGUAGCAGUGAAAUGCGUAGAUAUCGAGAGGAAUACCAAAGGCGUAGGCAGGUCACUGGACAGUUACUGACACUGAGGCACGAAGGCCAGGGGAGCGAACGGGAUUAGAAACCCGGGUAGUCC
This 449-nucleotide ribosomal RNA is filed under the name uncultured bacterium. RNAcentral describes it as "partial 16S ribosomal RNA". It matches the Rfam family "Bacterial small subunit ribosomal RNA", at positions 354 to 796 of the family's 1533-position model. The record is from RNAcentral.